This 479-nucleotide ribosomal RNA is filed under the name Algibacter sp. 6-45. RNAcentral's name for it is "bacterial SSU rRNA". It matches the Rfam family "Bacterial small subunit ribosomal RNA", at positions 33 to 506 of the family's 1533-position model. Lineage: Bacteria; Pseudomonadati; Bacteroidota; Flavobacteriia; Flavobacteriales; Flavobacteriaceae. The record is from RNAcentral.
ACGCUAGCGGCAGGCCUAACACAUGCAAGUCGAGGGGUAACAGAGAGAAGCUUGCUUCUUUGCUGACGACCGGCGCACGGGUGCGUAACGCGUAUACAAUCUACCUUGUACUGGGGGAUAGCCUUUAGAAAUGAAGAUUAAUACCCCAUAGUAUGUUAAGUUCGCAUGGACCUAAUAUUAAAGGUUACGGUACAAGAUGAGUAUGCGUCCUAUUAGCUAGUUGGUAUGGUAACGGCAUACCAAGGCAACGAUAGGUAGGGGCCCUGAGAGGGGGAUCCCCCACACUGGUACUGAGACACGGACCAGACUCCUACGGGAGGCAGCAGUGAGGAAUAUUGGACAAUGGAGGCAACUCUGAUCCAGCCAUGCCGCGUGCAGGAAGACUGCCCUAUGGGUUGUAAACUGCUUUUAUACAGGAAGAAACAUCGCUACGUGUAGCGACUUGACGGUACUGUAAGAAUAAGAUCGGCUAACUCCGU